Molecule: RNA transcript, 2262 nt
Organism: Brachypodium distachyon (stiff brome)
Lineage: Eukaryota; Viridiplantae; Streptophyta; Magnoliopsida; Poales; Poaceae
Gene name: O-fucosyltransferase 13
Exons: 7
Source: RefSeq, a predicted model, not a curated record
UCUGGGCCCGGGUAAACUGUCAGCGGGGCCCGCAGUCUGACGAACACACAGGGGAAUGGUUGUAGUGUAGACCACCGCCUCGAGCGGCGCCGGCGAUCAGAUCCGGUGCUUCUCGAUCCGAGCGCUCCUGGUGUGGCGGAGGUCAUGUCGGCGGCUGCGGCGGCGGGGUGGUGGGCCGGCCACCGCAUACGCGUGCUCCUCCCGGCUCUCUUCCUCGCCCCCGUCCUCUUCUUCGUCCUCGCCUCGCCUCGCUCCUCCCCGUCCUUCUUCGCGCCGCCUGUCUCCAGGGAGCACUUGCCGUCGGGGUCGCGGGUCAUCUGGGCGCAGCGGCGGGCGGUGGAGUGGCGGCCGUGCGGGUGGUGGCAGCGGAAGGCAAUGCCCGCUCCGGGGUCGAGGAACGGCUACAUCCGGAUAGAUUGCUACGGCGGGCUCAACCAGCUGCGGCGUGAUCUAUGUGAUGGAAUUGCGGUUGCGCGUCUUUUGAACGCGACAAUGGUUCUGCCCAAGUUUGAGGUUGCUGCAUACUGGAAUGAGUCUAGUGGUUUUGCAGAUGUUUUUGAUGUUGAUUACUUCAUUGAGCAGACUAGAGGUUAUGUGGAAGUGGUGAAGGACAUGCCUGAGGAGAUAGCGCUGAAAGAGCCAUUUAAGGUUGAUUGCCGAAAGCGGAAAGGUCAUUUUGAUUAUGUGGAAUCGGUGCUUCCGACUCUUUUGGAGCAUCGGUAUAUUUCGCUGACACCUGCCGUGAGCCAAAGAAGAGAUAGAAAUCCUUCCUAUGCGAAAGCAUCUUAUUGCCAAGGUUGCUACAAUGCACUCCGGUUGAAUAAAAAGGUGGAAGCCAAAGCUAUUGAGCUCCUUCAAGUCAUACCAAAACCUUUCUUAUCCCUUCAUCUUAGAUUUGAACCAGACAUGGUUGCCUACACUCGAUGUGCAUACAAUGGCCUUUCUUCCGAUUCACUGGGUGCAAUUGAAGCUGCACGUGGGGAGGAUAGAAAAGUAUUGAUAGGCGAUGAUGCUCGUCUGUGGAGGAACCGUGGAAAGUGCCCUCUAACACCUGGUGAAACAGCAUUUAUCCUCCAAGCGCUAGGGAUUCCUACAGAGACAAACAUUUACUUAGCCGCUGGCGAUGGGCUAAUGGAACUUGAGGGCUUUACUUCGGUCUACAAAAAUAUGUAUACUAAAUCUUCUCUCCUGGCUCAUGAAGAUUUUGAGAGGAUGCAUGGCAACACAAAAGCUGCUCUCGACUACUAUGUUUCAGUCAACAGUGACGCUUAUGUUGCGACGUUCUUUGGAAAUAUGGAUAAGAUGGUAACUGCAAUGAGAACAAUGCAAGGGCUCCAGAAGACCUUGGUCUUGAGCAGGAGGGCCUUUGCAAACUACACUGCUGCUGGACUGGCAGGAGACCAACUAUCUAAGGCCAUGUGGGAUGCUCAUCGAGCAGACUAUGUCAUGGGGAGGGGAUCAGCUUUGCCCGAGCAUUGCUUCUGUGAGUUCAAGUUGUAGCACAGAUGAGCCCAUAUAACACAAGAUCUACCCUACACAACCAACUUUUGAUGAGCAGCAACUACAUCAUGUUGAAUGUGUAAACAUGGUUGAAUUGCUACUGCAACGAGAGUAAUGCCCAGGCUUCUCGGAGGACAUUGUUCUUGGCCAGAUUGGACUUCGUAAGCUGCACGGCAUCUUGGUUCAGACAAAACUGUGACCCAUGCAGUGAUGGAUCAUGCUCUGUGCUUCUCCUGGAUACUUUUUUCGAAGGAGAAUCAGAUUCCAACAACUGUCCAUCUUGAUCGUUUUAGUCAAUGAGAGAUAUGUAUAACAAGCAACUCCUAGAGGCAUGCAUGAUGCAUUCCAUAUCAAUGGGUUGAGAGUGCAUCAAUCAUCCACUGGCGAUCUAAAUAUUAAACAAGGCUUCCAAUCGUCACACUCGCCGUCACUCUUUGCGUGAGGCACUAAUCUAUGUGACUAGUGGUUUGUCCCCAAUUUUAAGUCAUGGACGUUAAGCUUAGAUUAAUUGGUGAAUGAGCAUGUGGGCUUUAGACCAGCACUGGAAUGCUGGGGUAGAUGACCUGGCAGUUCAGUUGUUCAUUCAUUCAGUUAGGCAGUUCAAACAAUAGGUGGAAGUACUGCCCCCUUCAUUCAGUUAUAGCCAAAGUGCUAAAUCCUACUCUAUUUUUUCCUUCCUUUUAGAGGGCUACAUCUGUUUGUUUUUUCGCUUGUCAUUUUGGACAUCAAUACCUUAGUAUAUGCAUACUUCCUUCCGGUUUA